UACCCCCGCACAACAAAGUUGUAAGGGGGGUAUACCGGAAUCAGCUUGUCCGUCCGGCCGUCCGUCCGGCUGUCCGUCGGUUUUUUCUUGUCCGCCCAAUAACUUAAGAUUCCUUUGACCCUGAGUCUUAAUAUUUGGCAUGGAGGUUAGUCAUGAUUAGUAGAUGACCCCUAUUGAUUUUGAGGUCACUAGGUCAAAGGUCAAGGUCACAGAGGCCUUGACUUCAAAAAGCUUGUCCGCCCAAUAACUUAAGAUUCCUUUGACCCAUAGUCGUCAUAUUUGGCAUGGAGGUUAGUCAUGAUUAGUAGAUGACCCCUAUUGAUUUUGAGGUCAAAGGUCAAGGUCACAGGGACUUUGACUUCAAAAAGUUUGUCUGCCCAAUAACUUUAGAUUCCUUUGACCCACAGUCUUCAUAUUUGGCAUGGAUGUUGAUCAUGAUUAGUAGAUGACCCCUUUUGAUUUUGAGGUCACUGGGUCAAAGGUCAAGGUCAUAGGGACUUUGACUUCAAAAAGUUUGUCCACCCAUUAACUUAAGAUUCCUUUGACCCACAGUCUUCAUAUUUGGUAUGGAUGUUGAUCAUGACUAUAAGGUGACCCCUAUUGAUUUUGAAGUCACUGGGUCAAAGGUCAAGGUCACAGGGACCUUGACAAAUAAAAGCUUUUCUUCUCAAUUGUUAAAGAAUGUCCUGUCCGCAAUGUAUUGAUUUUGACAAUUUCACAUUUGAAGCAUGUACAAUACAUAACUUAGCAAUGCACUGGCUUAGUAACCUCAGAUUUGGCAGGGAGGUUGUCCUUGAGCUCUAAAUGGCUACUGUUGAUUCUGACAAAGUGGUAUGCGGGGGUAUUCACGCCAUGAUAGUGGCAGUUCUAGUUUUUA
Molecule: long non-coding RNA, 877 nt
Organism: Ruditapes philippinarum (Manila clam)
Lineage: Eukaryota; Metazoa; Mollusca; Bivalvia; Venerida; Veneridae
Exons: 2
Source: RefSeq, a predicted model, not a curated record